GAUAAAAGUGUAGAGAGAGAGAGCAUGGAUGAAGCUGUUAUUGUCACAGGAGAGAUGAUACUGGUUGAUAUAGAUUACUUGUUCUAAACAACCAGUAUCAUCUCGCUGUGACAACAAAUCUUUUCAAUCCUCUCAACCAUCAUCAUCAUUGUC
This 153-nucleotide microRNA precursor is filed under the name Amborella trichopoda. RNAcentral's name for it is "miR8585 stem-loop (atr-MIR8585)". Lineage: Eukaryota; Viridiplantae; Streptophyta; Magnoliopsida; Amborellales; Amborellaceae. The record is from miRBase by way of RNAcentral.